This is a long non-coding RNA of Oreochromis aureus, 731 nucleotides long. The record is from Ensembl. NCBI's taxonomy places the organism in Eukaryota, Metazoa, Chordata, Actinopteri, Cichliformes, Cichlidae.
AUGCAGUCUUAUCUUCCCUCUAUCAAGACAUCUUUUGAUGUGCCUGCCCUAUGUUGACCUCUUUGUUUUUGUGGAUUUUGUUCUCAUUUGGACUUCAUUUCAUUGGCCAUCAAAGCCUGCUAUUUGUUGGGGCUUUCUGACUUCUGCCUCCUACAUACAAAGGUCAUAACAAGAAGAACAGAUUGUAAUGGAUCUUGUUUCCUUGAACCGAUGAAGCCAAGGGGUGUACUACGAAGUGAGACUGGUGGGUUAUUGAGCAACGUUGAGUUUAAGGGACUCACCCGCUCCAGCUGGAUGUAGAACGUCUGGUCCCAGCUCAGCCUGCUGAUGGCUGCCCAGCGCGUCCGGCCGACCACUCUGCCGUCCAGCCUGAGCACGCCACUGAUCUCUGCGCUGCUCCUUUUAGGGGUCGCCACAGCAGAUCAUCUGUCUCCAUCUCACCCUCUCACUGGCAUCCCCAAACCUCUACUUGUCUUCCUUCAUUACAUCAGGUGCCUGGCAGCUCCAUAUUCAACAUCCUUUGUCCAGUUUAUCCUCUGUCCUUCCUCUGCACAUUUCCAAACAAUCUCAGUCCUGCCUCUAACUUUGUCUCCAAACCGCUCAUCCUCAGCAGUCUCUCUGAUGUCAUUAUUUCUAAUCCUGUCUAUCCUGGUCAUUCCCAAUAAAAAACCUCGACAUCUUCACCUCUGCCACCUCCAGCUCUGCUUUGUGUCUUUUUAUCAGUGCCAACA